Molecule: long non-coding RNA, 1031 nt
Filed under: Mytilus galloprovincialis (Mediterranean mussel)
Lineage: Eukaryota; Metazoa; Mollusca; Bivalvia; Mytilida; Mytilidae
Source: RNAcentral
UGACUGGUCUGUCCCUGAAGUAAUAUCAGGGAAACCAGAUCAAGAACAACAUAAUUCACUUUUAGAACUUCUUUAUGAUCAUAAUUUACACCAAAUAGUUAACAUACCAACACGUAAAGAAAGAAUCCUGGACUUAGUACUCGUCAAUAAUCCUUCUAACAUUAACAAAGUCAGUACACUACCACCAAUAGGCCUUAGUGACCACGACAUUGUCUAUGUAGAAUCUGACAUCUGGUUACGCAGGGUGAGAGAAAAACCCAGAAAAAUACUAAAAUACAAUAAAGCUAACUGGGAUAACAUAAAGUUAGAUCUAGAAAAAAACAUACAAUGAUCUACAAAACCUACAGGACAAAACAAAUGUAAAUGAUAUGUGGAACACAUUUAAAACAAAUCUUACACAAUCAGUGGAAAACAACAUCCCACACAAGUUCCUAACAUACAAAAACAGACUACCUUGGAUUCAUAACAACCUUAGGAAAAUGAUAAAUAGAAAAAAUAAAUUAUAUUAUAAAAUGAAACAAAACACCAAGUAUGCAGACAAGUACAAACAUCUGAAAAAAACAAGUACAAAAAGAACAAAGGUUAGCAUAUUGGGGUUACAUUGAAAAAAUGAUAUUGGAUUUACCAAUAAAUGAACCGGACCAACCAUGUAACAAUCAGUCAAAACCUAAAAAACUGUUUUCCUUCAUAAAAUCACUGCGCACAGAUAACACCGGUGUAGCUCCCUUGAAAAAAGAAGGACAGUUAAUAGCAGACACAAAGCAAAAGGCAGACAUCCUCAACACACAGUUCCAAUCAGUGUUUACAACUGAAUCAAAUAACACCAUUCCAGACAAAGGUCCUAGCUCACACCCUGUGAUAACACCACUUGAAAUAUCUUUACCUGGUGUCAAAAAACUACUACACAACAUAAACCCUCAUAAGGCAACUGGCCCAGACAACAUCAGUGGUAGAAUAUUAAAAGAACUCAAAGAUCAAACAGCUCCAAUUCUUACACUAAUCUUCAAAACAUCAUUUGAAACUGGCAUAAC